This 497-nucleotide ribosomal RNA is filed under the name uncultured bacterium. RNAcentral's name for it is "partial 16S ribosomal RNA". It matches the Rfam family "Bacterial small subunit ribosomal RNA", at positions 28 to 507 of the family's 1533-position model. The record is from RNAcentral.
GAUGAACGCUGGCGGCGUGCCUAAUACAUGCAAGUCGAGCGAACGGACGAGAAUCUUGCUUCUCUGAUGUUAGCGGCGGACGGGUGAGUAACACGUGGAUAACCUACCUAUAAGACUGGGAUAACUUCGGGAAACCUGAGCUAAUACCGGAUGAUAUUUUGAACCGCAUGGUUCAAAAGUGAAAGACGGUCUUGCUGUCACUUAUAGAUGGAUCCGCGCUGCAUUAGCUAGUUGGUAAGGUAACGGCUUACCAAGGCAACGAUGCAUAGCCGACCUGAGAGGGUGAUCGGCCACACUGGAACUGAGACACGGUCCAGACUCCUACGGGAGGCAGCAGUAGGGAAUCUUCCGCAAUGGGCGAAAGCCUGACGGAGCAACGCCGCGUGAGUGAUGAAGGUCUUCGGAUCGUAAAACUCUGUUAUUAGGGAAGAACAUAUGUGUAAGUAACUGUGCACAUCUUGACGGUACCUAAUCAGAAAGCCACGGCUAACUACGUG